Molecule: ribosomal RNA, 253 nt
Filed under: uncultured bacterium
Lineage: Bacteria
Description: partial 16S ribosomal RNA
Rfam family: Bacterial small subunit ribosomal RNA
Source: RNAcentral
UACGGGGGGGGCAAGCGUUGUCCGGAAUUAUUGGGCGUAAAGAGCUCGUAGGCGGUUUGUUGCGUCGGCUGUGAAAACCUGAGGCUCAACCUCAGGCCUGCAGUCGAUACGAGCAGACUAGAGUGUUGCAGGGGAGACUGGAAUUCCUGGUGUAGCGGUGAAAUGCGCAGAUAUCAGGAGGAACACCGGUGGCGAAGGCGGGUCUCUGGGCAACAACUGACGCUGAGGAGCGAAAGCGUGGGGAGCGAACAGG